GAUCCUGGCUCAGGAUGAACGCUGGCGGCGUGCUUAACACAUGCAAGUCGAACGAAGCACUUAGCUCGAUUUCUUCGGAUUGAAGGCUUUGUGACUUAGUGGCGGACGGGUGAGUAACGCGUGGGCAAUCUGCCCCAUACCGGGGGACAACAGCUGGAAACGGCUGCUAAUACCGCAUAAGCGCACGGGGACGCAUGUUUCUGUGUGAAAAACUCCGGUGGUAUGGGAUGAGCCCGCGUUGGAUUAGGCAGUUGGUGAGGUAACGGCCCACCAAACCGACGAUCCAUAGCCGGCCUGAGAGGGUGAACGGCCACAUUGGGACUGAGACACGGCCCAAACUCCUGCGGGAGGCAGCAGUGGGGAAUAUUGCACAAUGGGGGAAACCCUGAUGCAGCGACGCCGCGUGAGUGAAGAAGUAUUUCGGUAUGUAAAGCUCUAUCAGCAGGGAAGAAGAUGACGGUACCUGCACAAGAAGCCCCGGCUAACUACGUGCC
RNAcentral lists this ribosomal RNA (494 nucleotides) under uncultured organism. RNAcentral describes it as "SSU rRNA". It matches the Rfam family "Bacterial small subunit ribosomal RNA", at positions 15 to 509 of the family's 1533-position model. The record is from RNAcentral.